CACAUCACCAGCUCUAGUUUGUCUUUUAUUUAGAGACAGAGUCAUACUGAGUUUCUUAGUUCCUCACUGUUGCUGAGGCUGGCUUUGAACUCUCGAUCCUCCUGCCUCAGCCUCCGAAGGUGUUGAGAUUCAGGUGUACAUCACCAUGCCUGUCAUGGUCAACAUUUCUGGCAAGCAUCUUUUCAGGUCUGACCUUAUCCCAUAACAUUGGACUAGGAGCUUCCAAGAAGGGGGAGCGUCUUGUGCAUUUCUAGCUGGGUUUAUAGUGUGCAGAUAAUCUGUGAGAGACAGGGCAGGUAUAAGCUAAGAGAAUUGGAUUUUCAUUGGGUGAAGGGCUUAUAUGUUCUUUCAUGAUGUUUCUUUGAUUAUAAUUAUUAUAAGAGAGUCAUUUGACCAAAAGGCAUUUUGCAAUAAAAAGAUUCAUAUUUUCUUAUCAAUUUUUGUGUUUCUCAAGUAUUGUGCAGUGAAACUGGUGAUAUGCUCUUAGUAUUGGUGGGCUGUUGGGCAGCCCUUGUAUGCAUUUCUGGAUGCCAGAAAGUUUUCCUUUCAUUUUCAUGUGCAUGAAAAUCAUGGGGUGAUUAUUUGUAUGAGAAAAUGAGAUGCUGUGCUUUUCCUGGAGGGAUAGUAAGAAUUCAGAGGGCUUCAGUGUUUUUAAUACUCUUUUUUUUGUGGAGUGCUGGUUUCCCUAAAAUGUUGAUAUGCAUUCAAAAUUUAGGGUUUGUUUUGUUUUAAACUUACCCAUGAUAAUCUGAUAUGUAUUCACUGGUGUGUGUGAUGCUGUCUGUGUGGCUAUUUGAGACCAAGGGAAAGUCAUGAUGUUUUUUGUGAGACUGUGCAGGGUUUGGUGUAUUUAGAGGGCUGUUGUUUAUUUGUUUAGGCUCAUGAAUGCACCUUGGGAUGUUUGGGUGUAAUAUGUGUGUUUGUGUAUGGGCUAUGUUAAUGAAUGUGUUUGGGUCUACAUUUAUGGGUUUGCCAUGAGAUUGAUAUUGUUGAGAAAUGGAGGAGUGGUAUUUGUAUACUUGGGAUAUGGGAUAUACUUGGUUAUGUGGGGUUUUAUAAAAAAUUUCUUUUCUUUAUUCAUGUAUAUGUACUUGCGUGCUUGAAGGCUGGUCAGUUACUAAUUUUGUGGAGUUGUAGGAUGAAUAUGUUCAAGUGUGGUGUGGAGUUGGUAGGGUUCUGCAUUUUUAUAGACAAGGAGUUAUUCAUAUUUGGGAGUGUGUGAACUUGUAUAUGAAGAUAGUAUAAUGUUUUGUGUAUAAUUUGGUAUAUUUGCAUAUUUUUAUGUAAUGGGUAACUGUAUAAAUUAGAUGCCUAUGGAGAGUCACUUGUGUCUUCAGUUUGUAUUAACUACUACAGCUCAGGUGUGUGUGGGUGUAUUUGUGUUGCAUGUAUCAGUAAUAGUUGUGA
This 1407-nucleotide long non-coding RNA is filed under the name Marmota monax (woodchuck). The record is from RNAcentral. Lineage: Eukaryota; Metazoa; Chordata; Mammalia; Rodentia; Sciuridae.